RNAcentral lists this ribosomal RNA (422 nucleotides) under uncultured bacterium. RNAcentral describes it as "bacterial SSU rRNA". It matches the Rfam family "Bacterial small subunit ribosomal RNA", at positions 360 to 773 of the family's 1533-position model. The record is from RNAcentral.
AAUUUUGGACAAUGGGGGCAACCCUGAUCCAGCCAUGCCGCGUGUGUGAAGAAGGCCUUCGGGUUGUAAAGCACUUUCGGCCGGAACGAAAUCGCGCGGGUGAAUAUCCCGCGUGGAUGACGGUACCGGAAGAAGAAGCACCGGCCAACUACGUGCCAGAAGCCGCGGUCACACGUAGGGUGCAAGCGUUGUCCGGAAUCAUUGGGCGUAAAGAGCUCGUAGGCGGCUUAGUAAGUCGGGUGUGAAACCUCCAGGCUCAACCUGGAGACGCCACCCGAUACUGCUAUAGCUAGAGUCCAGUAGGGGAGUGCGGAAUUCCCGGUGUAGCGGUGAAAUGCGCAGAUAUCGGGAGGAACACCAGCGGCGAAGGCGGCACUCUGGGCUGGUACUGACGCUCAGGAGCGAAAGCGUGGGUAGCGAAC